GUCCAAUUUCCGCCUUUGCCAGUCUGCUGGUGUCACUCUUCUUGUCUUCAUUUCUUCUUCAAGAUUUGGUGAUUUUUGAAGCAGACGGAGUAAAGUAAGCACUGAAGUAGGCGAAGCAAAGGUUAAUAGGUUUAUUUCUGCCACCGAAAAUUAGGCAAGCCGGCCAGUUGUUUCGAACAGGCCAGUGAAGGGGUGUCAGAAUUAUGGAAGCUAUAGAUCAUCCUGCAUGCAUUGUGCUU
This is a long non-coding RNA of Alnus glutinosa, 239 nucleotides long. RefSeq lists it as uncharacterized. The record is from RefSeq and is a predicted model, not a curated record. Lineage: Eukaryota; Viridiplantae; Streptophyta; Magnoliopsida; Fagales; Betulaceae. The transcript is spliced from 3 exons.